GACCACUAGCAUUGUCCCCAUUUAAUUCAAAAACAACCCUUUUAACUUCAUUUAAAUUAGGUUGUCUACAAAGCUCUGCAUUAUCUUCAUCCCAGAUGGAUUUCUGAAUAUGUCUAAGAAGUGAUAAAGGCGUGGCAUCUCUUUCUUGGGAGAACUGAUUGUGAUAAACAUUAACUGUUUCUGCUGCUAUGUCUCGUUCAUCCUCUAACCAAUUUUCCUCAUUGUUCUGGAUCCUUUGCAAAUGCAGUCUUUUUCUCCUCUCUUUCACAAUACUGUGGAAGUACUUAAUAUUUCUGUCACCAUUCUCAAACCAAUCAUAUCCUGACUUUUGUUGUCAGAAUAUCUCUUCAAAGUGUAGAUAUCUUCUAUAUUCAGCUUGAGUUCUUUGCAGUACUUCUCUAUUUUCAGCUGUGGGAACCUCAUUAAACAACUUUUCUUUAAUCUUCACAAUGUUAGAUUGGUUGGGCUUUCUUUCCUUUCUUUUUGUAAUGUUAUAGCAUUUCAAAACCCGACCCAAUUAGAUUAAGGUUGAUUGAAAAUCGGCCCAAUAGCCCAAAACAAGCUUUCAUCAAAGGAAAAAUUAC
RNAcentral lists this long non-coding RNA (584 nucleotides) under Capsicum annuum. Its description in RNAcentral is "long non-coding RNA (CANN_LNC021276)". Lineage: Eukaryota; Viridiplantae; Streptophyta; Magnoliopsida; Solanales; Solanaceae. The record is from RNAcentral.